Molecule: ribosomal RNA, 506 nt
Filed under: uncultured bacterium
Lineage: Bacteria
Description: bacterial SSU rRNA
Rfam family: Bacterial small subunit ribosomal RNA
Source: RNAcentral
GUCAGGAUGAACGCUAGCUACAGGCUUAACACAUGCAAGUCGAGGGGCAGCAUUGGGAUAGCUUGCUAUUCAGAUGGCGACCGGCGCACGGGUGAGUAACGCGUAUCCAACCUUCCUGCCAGUAGGGAACAGCCCGGCGAAAGUCGGAUUAAUGCCCUAUGUUCUUCAAUGCGGACAUCUAAGUUGAAGGAAAGAUUCAUCGCUGGCAGAUGGGGAUGCGUCCGAUUAGCUUGCCGGCGGGGUAACGGCCCACCGGGGCGACGAUCGGUAGGGGUUCUGAGAGGAAGGUCCCCCACACUGGUACUGAGACACGGACCAGACUCCUACGGGAGGCAGCAGUGAGGAAUAUUGGUCAAUGGGCGUAAGCCUGAACCAGCCAAGUAGCGUGCAAGGAUGACGGCCCUACGGGUUGUAAACUGCUUUUAUGCGGGGAUAAAGUGCGGCACGUGUGCCGCUUUGCAGGUACCGCAUGAAUAAGGACCGGCUAAUUCCGUGCCAGCCGCUGC